RNAcentral lists this ribosomal RNA (406 nucleotides) under uncultured bacterium. Its description in RNAcentral is "partial 16S ribosomal RNA". It matches the Rfam family "Bacterial small subunit ribosomal RNA", at positions 30 to 526 of the family's 1533-position model. The record is from RNAcentral.
AUUGAACGCUGGCGGCAGGCCUAACACAUGCAAGUCGAACGAGUAGCGGACGGGUGAGUAAUGUCUGGGAAACUGCCUGAUGGAGGGGGAUAACUACUGGAAACGGUAGCUAAUACCGCAAACCAUCGGAUGUGCCCAGAUGGGAUUAGCUAGUGGGUGGGGUAACGGCUCACAAAGGCGACGAUCCCUAGCUGGUCUGAGAGGAUGACCAGCCACACUGGAACGUAGACACGGUCCAGACUCCUACGGGAGGCAGCAGGUGUGAAUAUUGCACAAUGGGCGCAAGCCUGAUGCAGCCAUGCCGCGUGUAUGAAGAAGGCCUUCGGGUUGUAAAGUACUUUCAGCGGGGAGGCGGUACCCGUCGAAGAAGCACCGGCUAACUCCGUGCCAGCAGCCGCGGUAAUAC